Molecule: long non-coding RNA, 1493 nt
Organism: Cavia porcellus (domestic guinea pig)
Lineage: Eukaryota; Metazoa; Chordata; Mammalia; Rodentia; Caviidae
Exons: 3
Source: RefSeq, a predicted model, not a curated record
UUGAGGAGAGUACGUGAAGCAAGAGAGAAAAUGAGGAGAGCUGAUAUACUUCUAUACCAGAAAGUAAAAUAUUAGUGAGAAUACCACUGAUACUUUAAGACAGUUUAAGAGACUCCUCAGCAACCUCAUCCACUUCCUGAAAUGCACUCUGAGUCACUCCUGCUCUGCUCCUGGUCCUCAGGGUCCCGGAACUGGGCUCUUCCAACCACACAUGGAGCUGCUCCCCAGAGCUGUCUGGAGCACAGGAAGCAUGGCUUUCUCUGUGGCUUCUCCAUGGGGAAUGCAGCGCAUGUGCCGUGAGAUGAAGAUGGAUGAGCCGCAGGAUGGCUUGGAAAAGGGAUCUAAACGUUCAACUCAAAAAGAGUCAAAUCUGAGUAUAGUCUGUCAUUCCAAAAGAAAACAAGCACAGAAGGACCACGAUCACAGACAGCCAGAAGGCAUAGGAAGUGGGCCAUUAAUCACAGGAGGCAGAGCUGCAGAACACAGCAAUGGCCAAGAAAAGAGAAGACACGGAGGGAACCCAGUGACAGCAAGAAGACAGAAAAUGGCAUCAAGACCUCCAGGGAAGAAUUCACAUCCUUUGAACUGACAGAGGUGUCGAGGUCUUGGGGUUAAAUUUUAGUAACUGUCCCGCUGCAGCAUUCAGAAAAUUGGGGAGUGGGGGCUGGGUAGUAAAUCAGGGUAAGGGGUGAUCCUUGAGGGGGAAUGGUCCCAAUUCUCCCUGGACUUUCAAACUUAUGCUUUUCUCAUAUCUUUUUUGGCACACGUUUAUUUUGUUGAAUUAUAAAAAUAACAUACCUAAUUGUCACAAAGUAUCUAACAAUUUAAUAAAAAUUAAGUCAUGAUCAGUUCUCACUUAACCAUGUGACUUCACAUUGCUAACAUUCCUGAACCAUCUCUUCCACAGCCAGAUGCUGUCCUUAAUCCUAGAGAAUGCCUUUGUAUCCUGGAAAAUGUUCCCAUAGUUCAGAGUUACUUCUCCCUUGGCUCUUACUGGUUCAUCUCUACAGAGCGGCAUCUGAAUUUCUCUCGUUGCUAUUGCUUUAGCAAAAUUCCUGAAAUUGGAUAUUUUAUAAAGACGAGAGAUUUAUUUAUCUCACAGUUUUGGAAGCUGAAAGCUCAAAAAGCAUGAUGCUGGCUCUGCUCAGGCUCCUGCUAUGUCGUGGCAUGAGACAUCACAACAGGAAUAUAUGAGAGAGGUAGUGUCAUGGUUUAUGUUUGUGUCCCCCAGACCUCAUGAGUUUGCAUUGUUCAUAUGUGAUGGUUCAUUGUCUAGUGCUUGGAUUGAUGGUGUCAGUGCUCCACCCACAUAGGGGUGGAGCCAGGAUGUGAUGUAAUGGCAGGAAGAAGGUGUGUUUUUCUCUUUGCUGGUUCGAGUUUGCUGUUGGCGGCCUCCAUGAACCGCAGCCCAGCCAUGCCUGCCUGUCUUGGAGCCACCUGAGUGUGGACUGAAACCUCCAAAAACUGUAAGAAAUAAACCUUUCCUUUCCCAA